GUCAGCCUGGUAUAGUGGUUUGAGCAUCGGACUAUGACUCUGGAGACCAGGGUUCGAAUCUCCACUCAGUCA
This is a non-coding RNA of Phrynosoma platyrhinos (Desert horned lizard), 72 nucleotides long. Lineage: Eukaryota; Metazoa; Chordata; Lepidosauria; Squamata; Phrynosomatidae. The record is from the annotation of a GenBank genome assembly.